UACGUAGGUGGCAAGCGUUGUCCGGAUUUAUUGGGCGUAAAGGGAGCGCAGGCGGUGACUUAAGUCGGCGGUGAAAUUUUGCAGCUCAACUGUAAAAGUGCCUUCGAAACUGGUUUCCUUGAGUGUGGAUGAAGUAGGCGGAAUUUGUGGUGUAGCGGUGAAAUGCAUAGAUAUCACGAGGAACUCCGAUUGCGCAGGCAGCUUACUAAACUACUACUGACGCUCAGGCACGAAGGCGUGGGGAUCAAACAGGAUUAGAUACCCU
Molecule: ribosomal RNA, 265 nt
Filed under: uncultured prokaryote
Description: partial 16S ribosomal RNA
Rfam family: Bacterial small subunit ribosomal RNA
Source: RNAcentral